AGUACUACUAAAACUCUCUAGUUCUUUCAUUUCUUUAAAUUUGAUAUUGAUAUUUUAUCUUUAUUUUAUAACACAUUAUCAGUACGAGACUCUGUCAAACAAGAUGAGAUUAUCAACCUAAAGGUAAUUUUAAGGUUAGUAAUUCCUUAUUUGUGUUUUGCUACUGAUGAUAUAAUUAUUGUUGGAUUUGAUGAAAAAUAAUUGGUUUGAAACCAAUUAUACUUUAAAUUUGUUCAUGAAGAACAAUAUUGUUAAAAGAUAUAAUGAUGGAUUUAAGUCUCAUCUCAUUAAGAGGGUAAGACAUUGGAUUAAAAGUUUCAAUGCACCAUGAUGAUAAGAUGUUGGGUUCAAAGUUCCAUCGAUUUAUGUCUAAAACACCUUUAUAUGAAUAAGACAUUGAGUUUGAAUCUCAAUGCACCAUAUUGAUAAUAUAACGAUGGCUAAGGCAAAAUAAUGUGUAUUUCAUAAAAAGUCAUGAAACAUAUCUCAUUUAUAUGCUCUAUUCCAUGAAGUGAAUAUGGUAGCAAUACAUGAUGAAUCUGAAAGUUGACAACUUGCUCUAUUCUUAAAAGGAAUGUGAUAGAAGUGCAUAAUAUGUCUGAAAGAAGAUAAGUGAUUGAAUGCACGAAUAUAAGCGUGAAGGGACAAUAUAAUAAUAAUCAUCAAAAGUGAUAUGGACGCUAACUCGAAAAACCUUUUCGCGAAGCCUCAAAAUAACGCUAGUGGAACCCGAGCUUUGAAUAAUUUAUUCGGAUAAUUAAUCUUUAAUUUGAUGCUCAAAUAAUGUCAAAAUAUUUUAGCCCUUAAACUGUUACUACCGAAUAUGUAUAUAUGUGUGCGAUAUAUGUUUACAUAUAAGAAUACUAGCACUUAGAUUGCCCUUUUUGUUAAAAAAAGAAAGACUAUUUUUGAAAGGCACUACCAAGUAUAUAUAUAUAUAUGGCCAAAGUCAUCGAUAAACACUCAAACUUGUUUCGAAAAUUCACUUAGACCCCUCAACUAUGGCCUGUACCUAUCAGGCCCCUAAACCCCCCGAAUUUUGAUCCAAUUAGAUCUUUUUUGCCUACAUGGCACUGUGCGUGUUUUUCACUCACUAGGGGCGCGUGAAACACAAUUUUUGACUAAAUAACAAAUAAAAACGUGCUAAAUGGCACUGAAAGCCCCCAAAAAAUUAAUAAAACAAGUUUUUUUAAAAUAAUCUUUUUCUCUUCCUCUUUCUUUUUCAUUUUCUUUUUAAAUAAUGUUUUCUCUCUCUUCUUCUUAAUUUUUUUUCUUACAGCUCUUUCUUUGCCAUUUCUUAAGCUCUUUCUUUCUCUUCCAUUUCUUACUGUUUCUUUCUCAUUUUCCUUUUAAAUAAUUUUUUUUUUCCUCUUCAUAGAUUACAAUUAUCUCCCCCACCACUCCACACCAAAUAUUUACGAUCUAACUUCUCGUGAUAAGUUUCAUCGAAAUUAAAAAUAUUUAUUUUGGGUAUUGAACUUAUGAUGAAAUAAGUGUGAUAAAUUAGAUAAGAUUUAUUGAAAAAAUAUCUUUGGAACUAAAAAUUUGAUGAAGUCCAAAAAUAUCAAAAUUUGAGAAUUUUUAAUUGAAGUCUUGAGCUGUUUCUGUUGAAAUGUUGGAAAUUUGGAGGUGAAAUUUAGUGAAAAGAUUCAAACUUUAGGAAAAUAUAAAGUGAAUUUUUGAUAAGUUUUGAUGUAUUUUUUUAUUGAAUUGGCAUUAUGAGACUCGUGUUGUGAGGAGAAGUUUUUGGCAAUUUUGAGCUGAUUUUGUUGAAGUGUGUCAAGAUUUGGAGGUGAAUUUGAUGCCUUUUUUGUUAGAUUGGUAUUGCCAGAUUCGUGUAGUCAGACAUUUCUGAUGUUUUUGAGCUGAUUUAGUUGAGGUUUAGGUGAAUUUGGUGCAUUUUUUGUUAUAUUGACAUUACCAGAUUAGUGUGGGGGAGGGGGGGUUGAAGAAGACGACGACUGGGGGAUGGAUUUUUUUUUUUUAAAUUAAGAAAUUAUUAUUAAAUAAAUAAUUAAAUAGAAAAAUGGAUAAAUUAGCAAUUUCAUCAUAUAAUUAUUAUUUUUGCCACGUAUUUUUUCGAAUUGGUUAAUUUUUUCACGUCAUCGCGUGUGUAUUACACACANNNNNNNNNNNNNNNNNNNNNNNNNNNNNNNNNNNNNNNNNNNNNNNNNNNNNNNNNNNNNNNNNNNNNNNNNNNNNNNNNNNNNNNNNNNNNNNNNNNNNNNNNNNNNNNNNNNNNNNNNNNNNNNNNNNNNNNNNNNNNNNNNNNNNNNNNNNNNNNNNNNNNNNNNNNNNNNNNNNNNNNNNNNNNNNNNNNNNNNNNNNNNNNNNNNNNNNUCUAUUAUAUAAUAAUAAUAUUUUAAUAUUUUUAAAUUUACUAUCUCCACUUAAAAUAUAAUAAAUCAUAAAAAUCUAUUAUAAAGUAAUAUAAAUAUAUCGUCACAUAAAGAAUAUUACCUAUAUCAAAAAUAUUCUAGAGGGGUACUAAAUUAUAUUCCUACCAAAUGCCAAAUUAAAUUAAUAAUCCACGAUACAUUUAAAUAGUACUAAAAUUCUAUGAAAAUAUAGGAAAAUGACCGUAAGGGUCAUUACAAUAUCCAUUACUAAAAGGACUUUCGUUCGCGAAAGUAAAAUGUAAGGUCAUACCUGAAGGCUCAAACAGGUAGGGAUACUGUGUGCCCAUAUCACACUUGAUCUCCCAAGUAUCCUCCUCAACUGGACGGUGACACCACUGAACCUUAGCUACCAGAAUGUCACUGGAGCGCAAUCGCCUUACAUCCCUCGCCAAAAUAGACGCUGGCUACUCUACAAACGCCAAUCCCUCAUCCAACUGAACCGAUUCCCACUGAAGUAUUUGUGACUCAUCUAUAAUAUACUGACGCAACAUAAAUACAUGAAACACCGGGUGAAUGCCUGAGAAGGCAGGUCGCAAUGCCAACACAUAAGCUACUUCUCCAACUCUUUGUAGGAUCUCAAAAGGUCCAAUAUAUCUAGGGCUAAGCUUGCCCUUCCUCCCGAACCUCAUCACGCCCUUCAUGGGCGAUACUCGUAGAAAGACCCUAUCACCAACUCUGAAACUCAAUGGACGACGUCUGCGAUCAGCAUAACUCCUCUGUCUGCUCUGAGUUGCUCGUAGCUUGUACUGAAUCACUCGAACCCGGUUCAACAAAUCACAAAUCAAAUCUGUGCCACAAGGCCUAGCCUUAGAAAUCUCAAACCAACCAAUAGAAGAUCAAUAUCGUAUACCAUACAAUACCUCAAAUGGGGCCAUCUGAAUACUCGAGUGAAAGCUAUUAUUAUAUACAAACUCUGCCAAAGGUAGAAACUGGUCCCACUGACCUCCAAAAUUAACACACAAGCGCGUAGCAUAUCCUCUAAGACCUGGAUAGUCCGCUCUGACUGCCCAUCCGUCUGGGGAUGAAAGGUUGUGCUAAGGUCAACCUGGGUCCCCAACUCCUCCUGAAAUGCCUUCCAAAAGCUAGAAGUGAAUUGGGAGCCUCGGUCAGAAAUAAUGGACACAGGAACCCCAUGUAGGUGAACUACCUCCUGAAUAUAAACACGAGCUAACUUCUCGGAACUGUAGAAAACUCGAACAUGGAUAACAUAUGCAGACUUGGUUAAUCGAUCCACGAUGACCCAAAUGCUAUCAAAACCACGUGAAGUACGAGGCAAUCCACCUACGAAAUUUAUAGUUACUCGCUCUCAUUUCUACUUGGAAAUGGGUAGCUGCUGAAGCAAUCCACCAGGCCUCUUAUGCUCGGCCUUUACCUGCUGAUAACAAAGACAUCGCACCACAAACCCUAUUAUAUCUCUCCGUAUACCACUCCACCAGUAAUGCUGCCUCAAAUCCCUAUACAUCUUAGCUAUCUUGGGAAGAAUAGAGUAUCUGGAGCUAUGAGCCUCACGAAGAAUCAACCGAAUCAAAUCUCCAACCCUUAAAACACAAAUACGAUCGUCAAACCUCAAGACACCCUUAGAAUCUAGGGUAGCCUGCUGAGACUCACCCCUCAACACCUGCUCUCGAAUGCUACAAAGUCUGCUAUCCUCAAACUGACGACUCUAAAUCUACUCCAAUAAGGUAGAUCUGGCCUCAACACUUGUAAUGAUUCUCCGAGGGUCAGAAAUAUCCAAACGAACCAUCAUAUUAGCUAAGGACUGAAUGUCCAAAGCCAACGACCGCUGAGAAGCUUAAAUGAAAGCUAAGCUACCCAUACUCACUGACUUCUGACUCAAGACAUCCGCUACCAUAUUUGUCUUGCUCGGAUGGUAGAGAAUAGAGAUAUCAUAGUCCUUCAGCAACUCAAUCCACCUGUGCUACCACAAAUUAAGCUCCUACUGGGUCAUAAUAUAUUGAAGACUGUGGUGAUCAAUAAAUAUCUCAUAGCGAACCCCAUACAAAUAAUGCCUCCAAAUUCUAAGCACAAAUACUACCGCUGCCAACUCUAAAUCAUGAGUGAGGUAGUUGCGCUCAUGCACCUUCAACUGUCUCGAUGCAUAUGCAAUAACACGACCACACUGCAUCAGAACAUACCCCAAACCAACACCAGACACAUCACAGUAAACAGUAAAACCCUCACCCUCAACAGGAAGAGUCAGAAUAAAAGAUGAAGUAAAUAAAUCCUUGAACUUCAUAAAGCUCGCCUCACAACUCGCAGACCACUGAAAUAGACACUCCUUCCUAGUCAAUCUAGUCAUAGAGGCUGCAAUAGAAGAAAAAGCCUCAAUAAACCGUCUGUAGUAACCUGUCAACCCAAUAAAACUGCGAACCUCAGAAGGUGACGUAGGCCUAGCCCAACUAUUGGCUGGGUUACCUGGAGCUCUAUCAAUCCUCGGAGCUAUAACAGGAUCUGGUGAUGGAUCCCUGGCCUGAUCUCGAACAUGGGCUGCUGCUCUACCCUGCCCCUGAUGUCUAGGUCGACCUCGACCCCAAGCUAGAACUCUAAAAGCGGACCCGGGGUCUCGACCCCUUGCUCUCGAACCUCGUGUCCUAGCCAUCUGCGUAAAGAGUGAACCAAAUAAAAUAUUACAAGUAACCUAGACUCAAAACACAAAAAUGGAUCAAGAAAAUGAGAUUUUUCCCUAAAAAUGUCUGUAGCCUCCCAAGGGUAGGAUACAGACGUCUCCGUACCGAUUUGCGGGACUCUACUAAACACUGGCUCCAGUACUAGGUAGACCAAUCAGUUACCAAAGAAAUAAUUCUUGAAAAGAAUAAGGAACGAAUAAUCAUAAUAAGAAAACAAUGUGCUCUUGAAGAGCCUACAAAAUAACACUUCAUGAAACCUUAUGAGAGGUUCAGGUACCUGAAAAAAUAAAGUAAUGAGAUCUCAAUAUGUUAUAUCGCAUUGUGAACCGAUACAAAAUGAUAAACGUCGAUGAUAUCUUUGAUACAAUAUUGACACAAUAUUACGAGGAUCUAAAUUCUACAUUAAUUUAAACAUGCUGACGUAGAAACAUUUAUCAAAUGACAUAAAAGAAUGCAUCUUGAUAAGCAUAACACUUAUUUGAUUUGCAGUCCAGACACUUGAAGAUGUCACAGAUGAAAUGUUGAAUAUUGUCAAUUGACAAAAUUUACAUGAAAACUUAUUUUAGGAUUCAAAAUGUUUAAAGCAUGUAAAAGUUUCUGAAAAACUUAUCUAUAAUUCUUAUAUUGCAUAAAUCUAUACUUCAAAAUUAUUGAAACUCUUGGACAGUUUUCAAAAACAAUAGAUUAUUUGGUGACAUGAGAAAUAUACCGAAUUGAAUUGGUUAUGAAGUACCAUAUGUUAGUGCAAUUGAUGUACUAAUGUAUCUUGCAAAUACUACAAGGUCUAAUAUUGCCCUUUUCAAUUAUUUAGUUAGCAAGGGAUAAUUCUGCUCCUUCUAGGAGACAUCGAAAUUGAAUCAAACACAUGAUCUUAUUUUAUUCUAAAGAUUGAAUUCCUAAUCUUAUUGAUUAUACUGAUGCUGGAUAUUUAUUUAACCCGCAUAAAUCUCGAUCUCAAAUAUGCAAUGUGUUGAUAUGUGAGAAUAUUGUCAUAUCUUGGAGAUAUACAAAGUGGUCUUUCUAGCACUUCAUCAAAUCAUGCUGAGCUAAUAGUUAUUCAUGAAAUAAGCCGAGAAUAUGUAUAGUUGAGGUCCAUGAUACAUCUCAUUCGAAAAAAAUAUUGUUUGAAAAUGUACCCACCAUUUUAUACGAAGAUAAUGCAACAUGCAUAACACAUCUUCAAGGAGAAUUCAUUAAAAGGAGAUAGAACGAAGCAUACUUCGUCAAAGUUUUUCUAUACAUAUGAGCUACAAAAGAAUGGUGAUAUUAACGUGAAACAGAUUCGUUCGAGUGACAAUUUGACUGAUUUAUUCACUAAAUCUCUUUCCGCUGCAACUUUCAAGAAGAUGAUGCGCAAGAUCGGGAUGCAAAGAUUCAAGUCAUUAAACUGAAGUUCUCAUUAGGGGGAGUAAAAUACACGUUGUACUCUUUUUUCCUUAACCAAGGUUUUGUCCCAAUCGAAUUUUCCUGGUAAGGUUUUUAAUGAGGAACACUAAAGGCGUAUUACAAGAUGUGUGCAUUCUUUUUCCUUCAUUGGGCUUUUUCCCAUUGAAGGGGGAGUAUUAUAUAAUAUGGAUAUCAUAUAACAUGUAUAUGUGUGAAAUAUUAGAGAUAAUAAUUAGUAGUCAAGAUAGGAUUUUAAGACCAAAACAUUCCUUGUUCAAUUUGGAUUUGAAAACCUAAAAUAGUUGGCCAACUUGCCAACUUGAAGUCAAGUUUGGCAAGCUUAUAAACUUAAGUUUGGUGUCUAUAAAUAGCCACCAUUUAUACAUAUUAUUGACAUAUCCAAAUAGUAACAAAAGUACUACUAAAAUUCUCUAAUUCUCUCAUUUCUUUAAAUUUGAUAUUGAUAUUUUAUCAUUAUUUUAUAACAGGAAAAUUAUACUAGAGGCAGUCAAAUGCAAAACAAUAAUUGGGAACAUCACCACAUGUAAUAAUAAUAAUAAUUGAAAAAGUAUAAGAUUUGCAGUAUAAAAAUAUAUUCAUAAACUUGGGCAAUAAUAAUUUGCCAUUACAUCACCAGUAACAAUAUGCAAGCAAAGCUGCGGGCUACAAUUUUUCCCCACUAAAUUUUGUCCUUUUGCAGCCACUUCAGCCUCUAUAUAACUUUUCACUUCACCUUUAACUUUUAACCACACACACUUACAGCAUCACAUAAGGGGAAAAAAGCAAAAAUACAUUAAAACAAAAGAAAAAGUAACAAUUUUAACCCAUUUCCCAGAAAGUUGAUAGUAACAAAAAAGAAAAAGAAACUAAUCCCGCUAUAAUUCAAAUUUUCCCACAUAAAAACGAGAAAUUGAAGACAGGAAAUCAUGUGAAUUUUUCUUUUUUUUCUUUUUUUGGGUCAAUAUAAUAAUUAUUUUGGUGAGAUUAAACGCGGAAAUUCUUGCCCUGGAAAGUUUGGCCAAAUUGCCAGUUAGCUGGCGCUAUGUUAUAUGAAGCGGAGCUGCGUUUAUCACUUGCAGUGACUCUAAAAGAAAGGGCUUGUCCAACAAGCAUUGCAUUUGUUUGCCAAUUUUGUCCCCAAUUACGAUUCAUCGAAAUCCAUUGAGUCUUUGUGCCUUUAACAUACACCUUCUGAAUGUCCCCAGCACCUGCAACGUUGGUCACUAACACCAAGUUAAAGUAUUUGAAACCGUUAACAGUGAAUCUGAUUCCUCCUUGUUUCCUGCAUGGAACCCUAUAAAAGAGCAGCAGAACACAUUUAGUACGAAAUACCGUAAGAUUUAAAUCAAAAUUACUGAAUUCUGCUGAAUCUUUUAACUUUGACGUUCACUAGCAUUAAGGGCAAAUGCACCAAAAUACAAAGACGCGUUUUCCAAUUUGAUCAAAUUUACCUGCAGAAUAUAGGUGAAGAUAAGGGACCAUUUGUAGAUUUUUUAUGAAGGUAUCCCAUAACUAGGACUUGUGGGUUUUAUUGGUUAGCAACCUAAGUUCAUAGGCCUAAAAUAGCCAAUUGCUAAAAUUGGGGAGAAAAUAGGACCACAUAAAAUUUUUUCUAAUAAAAAAACUUAAAACAGAUUCUAUAGCAUUCAAUAACGGCAUUAAUGAAAAUCCGGGAAAUUGGACAUUUCUCAAAUAGGAGAACUUCUUAAAUCAUGACUAAUGCAUGCCACAUGUGAUCGGUGUCUCAAUUUAUGUGAAGCACUUCAAUUAAAUAUAGAAUUUGUAGAAUUUUUUUUUAUUUUUAAACUUAUAAUCUAAAAAAAAAUUAUAACUAUGUAAAAUGUAUCACAUUAAUUAAAAUAUAUAGAAUAAUAAUACGUAGCAUUAUAGUUAAGUUAUACAUAUCACAUUAAUUGAAACAUAUAGAAUAAUAAUACGUAGUAUUACAGUUAUUAUAUGGAAAGUUUAGUUUAAGUAUUACAGUUAUCAGCUCUGUACCCAUUUACUACGUCAACAUUAUCCUUCAGGAAACUGGAAAGUUUAGUUUAAGUAAACCCAAAGCCUAAUUACUUGUUAAACCUUGUGUAACACGCCACAAACUGUUGCAAAUAACAAGAUGCCAAACAUUUUUUUGGACUUGCGCUUCUUUAGCCUUACGUAAGUCCAUCCCAAAUUUUCUAAUUUGAUUUCUCAUUUUAUUUGUCUUUUUUAAUUAAUCAAGUAGAGAUAAAUUUUAUUUCAUGUUUUACCAUUGUAUUAAUUAUUUUAUCUUUAAAUUAAAAUGUAAAUAUCAUUUAAUAGAGAUAAUAUAGUAAACUAGUCGUGUUAUUAAUUAUUUUUCUUAAUUAAUAUGCCAUUUUAAUUUGGGACUGAGGGAGUAUUAUAAAAAAGCUAUUUUUACAUAUAAUUAUUCACAAUAAGUGAUUAACUACUCCCUUUAUUUCAUUUUAGUUGUCUCAUUUCUAAAAGUAUUUAUUUCAAUUUAGUUGUCUUUUAAAUGAAGUCAAGAAUAUUUUAUUACGUUAUUCAAUACUAUCAUCAAUAUUAAAUAACUAAAUAAAAUGUAUUUACUAAAAUUUAUAUUUUUAAAGUAUAAUUAAUAAAACUAAUUUAAUAAAAUAAAUCAUUAAUAAAUAUUUUUUAAGAAGGGUGUCAAGUUAAAAAUAGCCAACUGUUUUGAAAUGGAUGGAGUAUAUAUUUAAUUUUACCAAAAUAAAAGAAAGAAGGCAGUGCAAUAGCAACAGCAAUAGCAAAAGAAUGUAGUGCAAUAAGUAACACUACUUCUUCCUUAGUUAGAAGUCUAAAUAACGAGUCUCAAUAUGGAAAAACCAUUAUAGGGAGGGAGGAGGGGGUGAGUACUAACCUUCGGUAGUUAACAGGAACAAUUCCAGCACGGUAGACAGCAAUUUUGAGGAACAUAGGCAUGGCAAGGUCGAAAUGUGGGCGAGGUGGGUUGCACCAUCCUCCAUUAUCAUUAGGCAAAGCGUAGUUUGGUGGGCAGAAAUUUGUUGCUGUUACGAAGAUGGAUGGGUUACCAGGGUUGCAAUAUUCCUUAGCGUUGGUACACUUAAUCUCGAAACAAGCGCCACAGCUUAACCCAUUGUUGAAAAGAGCCGUACUCAGUGCCGCGUUGUUUACUCCGUAACCUUGGCUGUACAGAUUCCCAUAGCCACAAGCCCCACCUAUACACACACAAAAAGAGAAAACAGAAAUUGUAAAUUCAUCAGUAAUUAACCUUCUAAUUUAAGUAAAAAAUGGCGCUAAACUAUUAUGAUUGUAAUUUUGAGGAGAAAACAGAGCAAGGGAUAUAAAAACACAGUGACGAGGCGAAGCGAGGUAGGGCCUGGAAGGAGUUUGGAAAAAUUAAUACAGUAAUAUUUUAUUUGAUCAACACAAUAUUUAAGAAAUAAGUAUUGACUUUAUUCAAGUUGCAAAAUUAUCUUCUUAAAAAAAGUAAUAGUAUUUAAAAUCAAGUGGGAUUUGAAAAAACAAAUAAAAAAAGGAGCAAUAGUAUUUAAAAUUAAGUGGACUACUAAGGGUAAAAUUAUAAUUUUCAUUUAAAAACUUACCAAAUAAGGAAAGACGAUAUUGUUUUUGGAACGAACCAAAAAACAAAUUACAACACAUAAUUUGGAAUGAAGGAAAUACAAAAUGAAGGAAGUACAAAUUUAGUGAGGUUUGACUGUGUUUCAUUGUGAAUUUUUUUUUAAGAAAUUAGUUUUUGUUUUUAAAGUAAAAAAAAAUGAUAUUUUGAUAAUUGAAAUUGUGUUUGGUCAUGAAUUUAAAUUAAAGUUGUUUUUAAAUAUUUUUGAAUAAUUUGGAGCAAAAGAAGGUAAAAUAACUUUUUAUUGUUUUGCAAAUUCUUAAAAUUUCAGAAAUUGAAUUCCGAAAUUUUACCACCAAACAUGUUUUCCAAAGUUCAAAAUCGAAAAAAAAAUUCUAAAAAAAUUGCAUGGUCAAACGCAUAUUUACACUUGAGGUUGAGGAGUACCAAAAUAUGUAUAGUCUGUCUAGUUUAAGUUGAAAACCGAUAAUUUUGCACUAAAAUGUUGACAAGAUUAGAGACGCAGGUAGCAUACCCAUGGUGCCAGAAGCAUCAGAGCCACCAUAGAAGGUAGCAUGGGCACUAGUCCAGGGUCCGCCAGUGUAAACGCCGGGGAUUUUGGCGGUAACGGCAGUGACAAAACAG
This 10601-nucleotide long non-coding RNA is filed under the name Capsicum annuum. Its description in RNAcentral is "long non-coding RNA (CANN_LNC011379)". Lineage: Eukaryota; Viridiplantae; Streptophyta; Magnoliopsida; Solanales; Solanaceae. The record is from RNAcentral.